GACGAACGCUGGCGGCGUGCUUAACACAUGCAAGCCGAGCGGUAAGGCCCUUUCGGGGGUACGACGAGCGGCGAACGGGUGAGUAACACGUGGGUGACCUGCCCUCAGCUCUGGGAUAAGCCUGGGAAACCGGGUCUAAUACCGGAUAUGACUCCGUGACGCAUGUUGUGGGGUGGAAAGCCUUGUGCGGCUGAGGAUGGGCCCGCGGCCUAUCAGCUUGUUGGUGGGGUGAUGGCCACCAAGGCGACGACGGGUAGCCGGCCUGAGAGGGCGACCGGCCGACACUGGGA
Molecule: ribosomal RNA, 290 nt
Filed under: uncultured bacterium
Lineage: Bacteria
Description: partial 16S ribosomal RNA
Rfam family: Bacterial small subunit ribosomal RNA
Source: RNAcentral